UUUUAAUGGACCUCUCAGAUCUGCAAAUCUAAAACGCUGUCCUGGAAUGGAAGAAUACAGGCCCUGAAGAGGAAACACCUUAUCGAGGACGCAAUCUCCAACAUUGAUGGAUAGCCAGGAGUUGCACAGGAAAUACCACUUCCGGUCCAUCACCAGGUCAUAGACCAGCACCCGGCUCACAUACCUGGAGAAGGGACCCAGAGUUUUGAGGAUAAGGUGGAGCAGGGGAGGAGACUUCACUGGACAUCACCAAGGAAGGGCAGCCCCGUAGGAAUGCAAAAGCCACCUAUGUCAAGGUCACAGGCUUUUCUGGGGCAGCUGACAUCCAGUGAUGCAGUACCUACAGGGAUCAAGACCUGGGUAUUUCAACCCAACUUGGGACAGCUCCAGAGCUCCCCAGUGGUGGACCACACUGUUGCUGGGCUGCAUCACAGCUUGACUUUUCUGCCAUCCUGCCUCCUUCCCUCUGUUCCCAGGUGCUGGUCCCAGGGCCCUGUAAUAAACACCCUGCAUAUGCAACUCCAUCUGAGAGCCUGCUUCCCGGGAGCAACCUACAGCGGCCACGCUUAAAAUAUUAAUGCUUAAUCCCAUAGGUGAAUUAAAGUGCUAUUGUUUUUCUAAAGCCGCCAGCUACUGAUGGGUGGUCAGACUGGACACCACUCAUCUGGGUCACUCAUUUUGGCCUCAGAAUGCAGAGAACCUUGCUCCAAACUUGCCAGCUGUGUGACCUUGGGCAAGUCACAGGUUGAUGCUGCAAAAGGGCCAAGGGUGGGGCUAGCACUGAAGAUGGGGCUAGCUGUAGCUUCCAGUCCUUUUCCUAGCUACCGAUCCAGUUUGUGUGGACCAUGAACCAGUGGGCUUUUCUGACCCUCAGUUUCCUCAUCUGUGAAACAGAGAUCAUUCUAUGUGUCUUGCGGAGGCUUGCGAAGAUCAGGAAGGAGGCAAAUGUACAGUGCCCAGCCCUGGGCCUGUCACUCUGUAGAUUCUCAAGGUUUGUCUGCCCCCAACUCACCACGAUGGCCGGUCCCCUGAGUUGUCAUGCCACAGCCGG
This 1051-nucleotide long non-coding RNA is filed under the name Homo sapiens (human). RNAcentral's name for it is "HSALNT0234231". The record is from RNAcentral. Lineage: Eukaryota; Metazoa; Chordata; Mammalia; Primates; Hominidae.